GCGCACCAGUCGCGAAAACUCCGCAAUACGCGAAAGCGUGACGGGGCUACCCCGAGUGUCGUCCGCUGAGGACGACUUUUCCACGCUGUAAGGAGGCAGAGGAAUAAGGAGAGGGCGAGUCUGGUGUCAGCCGCCGCGGCAAUACCAGCUCUCCGAGUGGUAGGGAUGAUUAUUGGGCUUAAAGCGUCCGUAGCUGGCCUUUCAAGUCUCUUGUUAAAUCCAGCGAUUCAAUCGUUGGACUGCGGGAGAUACUGUUAGGCUAGGGGGCGGGAGAAGCCGACGGUAUUUCCGGGGUAGGGGUAAAAUCCUAUAAUCCCGGGAAGACCACCAGUGGCGAAGGCGUUCUGCGAGAACGGGCUCGACGGUGAGGGACGAAAGCCAGGGGCGCAAACGGGAGUAGAUACCCGGGUAGUCC
Molecule: ribosomal RNA, 415 nt
Filed under: uncultured crenarchaeote
Lineage: Archaea; Thermoproteati; Thermoproteota
Description: partial 16S ribosomal RNA
Rfam family: Archaeal small subunit ribosomal RNA
Source: RNAcentral